GGGGAAUCUUGCACAAUGGAGGAAACUCUGAUGCAGCGAUGCCGCGUGAGUGAAGAAGGCCUUUGGGUUGUAAAGCUCUUUUGUCGGGGAAGGUAAUGACUGUACCCUAAGAAUAAGGUCCGGCUAACUUCGUGCCAGCAGCCGCGGUAAUACGAAGGGACCUAGCGUAGUUCGGAAUUACUGGGCGUAAAGCGCGCGUAGGCCGUUGAGUAAGUUAAUAGUGAAAUCCCAAAGCUUAACUUUGGAACUGCAAUUAAAACUACUCAGCUAGAGUUUGAUAGAGGAAAGCGGAAUACAUAGUGUAGAGGUGGAAUUCGUAGAUAUUAUGUAGAACACCAGUUGCGAAGGCGGCUUUCUGGAUCAACACUGACGCUGAGGCGCGAAAGUAUGGGUAGCGAAGAGGAUUAGAUACCCUCGUAGUCCAUACCAUAAACGAUGAUUGCUAGAUGUUGGAAAUUUAUUUUCAGUGACGCAGCUAACGCAUUAAGCAAUCCGCCUGGGGAGUACGGCCGCAAGGUUAAAACUCAAAUGAAUUGACGGGGA
Molecule: ribosomal RNA, 543 nt
Filed under: uncultured bacterium
Lineage: Bacteria
Description: bacterial SSU rRNA
Rfam family: Bacterial small subunit ribosomal RNA
Source: RNAcentral